ACCCUAAAAAUUGCCGCACCUAACGCUACACGUCACCUAAUCUCCACCGUCAAUACAACUAUCAACCGUUCAUUCCACCAAAACCCAUUAUAAAAGAUAGGGUUGAGAACCCCAAAGUUAUAUCGUUCACAACCUUCAAGGGUUUCAUCUUUCUUCGUCCUUCUCCUAUCAAUCUAUUCCAGAUCUCGUUAGAAACUCCUCUUUCUAACCUCGAUCGAUACCAGAUCUGUAUAGAUCGGAUGACGAUCUACACGCCGAUGGUGUUUUCAUCGAGAUCUGAAACUUCGCCGGUCCGAUCUACGUUGCAGAGGUGCGAUCUUCACGUUCGACAUAGUUUCUGGAGUCUGUUCAUAGAAAAGUCAAUUGUUCUUUCCUAAAUCGAAGCUUUGAAGCUAUUUUUUGCAGGUAUGGCGGUAGAUCGUUGAACAGAUCGUAGAUCCGGCGUUGAAUUGUUGAAUUAUGGAGAUUUCACCUUGAUGGUUAUAAUUAUGGAUGCAUCGGCUUCUGAUAUACAAGCUAUUGAUGUUGAUGGUGAAUUCGUAUUCAAAGAUGUUGCAAAUCUCAAAUUGUAUUAUUGUAUAUGAUGAUUGAGAGUUACGGGUAGGGUAAAAUAUAAUAUGGAUGUAGGAUGUAUCAGGAUUAUAUGCCUCGGCACGCUGAGUGUGUUGAGGAUUAAAUCCUGACUGAUCUUGUCAUCCGACCUUUGCCAUGUCAGGUGCGCUUGCUUGGCAGGUCAAAAAAAAUAAUAAAAAAAAAGUUUCGUUGGUUUUUGGGAGGAGAUCGCACGGGGAUUUUUGCCCGGGAUCUCUUUCCCCUGUGUGUGGUGUUGCCUUGCCUUGCUACUUUUCAUUAUGCCUCUUUAUUAUUACGUAUCUUGCGCUACUAUCUACGUUCCAAUACUCUGCACGGGAUGGAUUCAUCGAAGAUUUUCAACUACUACAUAACAAGGUAUCAUCUAUCGAAUUUCAUUCGAAUUAAUUAUUAUUGAUUUAAAUUUAGAAGUAAUUAAUCAUGCAGCUAAAAUUAGUUCUAAUUGAAAUUUAUUAGAUCAUCACAAAUGUUUCAUAGGUUUUCUUCAAGUCUAAAUUAUCUUUUGUUCAAAGUAUCAGACAUUUCAAAUCCAACUUAACUUCCUUAAAAUCAAGUCAGACAUUUCAAAUCCAAUUGGCUCCCUUUGAAUCAACCCAUAUCGACACGUUUGUUGUUUGAACAAUAUUAUUAUUAUUCAGCUUUCGCUUAUGGUUCAUCAGCAAUCUUCUACAUGAUCAAUUGUGCUAAUUAAUUUGGUCGAAUUUAAUUUGGUCCCUAAUUUGUUAUUAUAUUAUCAAGUUAUAUUAUUUACUUGGUUUCUUUCAAGUAUUAUACUUAUGAAUAUUACUACCAGUGGUUAAUCUCAUUUGAUCUGCCCAGUCAUGUUAAUCAGCUGUUGCUUUUGUAACAUAACAAAUGUAAAACGGAGUUUCAGCUUCGGCUGUGAACAAUUGUAUUGUAAUUCUAUAGUGCAGUGAUAGUUCCAAUCUCGAGAAUUGUGAGAAUCUGUUGUCAGCAAUUUAGCUCUGUAAAUGGAUCCGUUAUUUUGGAUAAUCUUGGACUAAGAUUGUCUUCCAGCAAGAGGAGUGUGUUGUAUAUCAGAGGAUCAUGAAGAUGCAACUGGUCUUAAUUUCAUUGAAGCAAUGCUGUGAUAUCAAGUCUUCUGUUAGAUCAUCCUCAUCAUUCAUUAAGGUGAAGAUGACUUCGGUUCCAUAUUUUAUGAUAAGCAAUGAAACGAACUGUUUCUUCAGUAUAAUUAAAUAAUUCAGUAAUGCAUUACAUACAUACUUCUAUGUUUUAUAGUUCUUUAUAAGCUUUUUAAUUGAUGUUAUGUCCCAAUGAUUAAUCCUGUUGUAUUGUCCGCCUAACAUAAUAUGAUCUUUGGAUUAUUCAGUUUA
Long non-coding RNA from Trifolium pratense (red clover), 1928 nucleotides. RefSeq lists it as uncharacterized. Lineage: Eukaryota; Viridiplantae; Streptophyta; Magnoliopsida; Fabales; Fabaceae. The record is from RefSeq and is a predicted model, not a curated record. The transcript has 2 exons.